GAAAAAUGCAUGGUCCCACACAUUCCCCAUAUCAUCCCAGUUUUGUACAAUUCCAUUGUUGACGGGAUAAGAUAAAUCCAACUGAUGGCGCAACUUCAAGCAUUCAUCUCCCACAAUAAUAUCCUUCAAGUCUUGUUCCAUAAGGGACUCUUCAUAUCUUAGCAUUGGCCUCCCCACAACACAAGGGAAUACAGAUGUGGGAAAAUUCUCACCCGCAAAGCCACACUUGACAUACCCAGUGCCGUUGUCGCAAACGACAACGUUUCGAUUAUCCAUCUUGUAGCUACUCAGCUGGAUCAAUCAUGAAUUCCACUUUUGUUAAACUUUGAGAUUUUUUUUGCUUGCGGAAUCAGCAAGGAUCGAAGCUUUUAGUUGGUAAUGGGUAUGGCCAUGGACUAGCUCCGGUUACCGGAAGUUAAAAAAACAUUUUUCGUUUGAG
Molecule: unclassified non-coding RNA, 439 nt
Filed under: Hevea brasiliensis (rubber tree)
Lineage: Eukaryota; Viridiplantae; Streptophyta; Magnoliopsida; Malpighiales; Euphorbiaceae
Source: RNAcentral